UAGGGAAUCUUCCGCAAUGGGCGAAAGCCUGACGGAGCAACGCCGCGUGAGUGAUGAAGGUCUUCGGAUCGUAAAACUCUGUUAUUAGGGAAGAACAAAUGUGUAAGUAACUAUGCACGUCUUGACGGUACCUAAUCAGAAAGCCACGGCUAACUACGUGCCAGCAGCCGCGGUAAUACGUAGGUGGCAAGCGUUAUCCGGAAUUAUUGGGCGUAAAGCGCGCGUAGGCGGUUUUUUAAGUCUGAUGUGAAAGCCCACGGCUCAACCGUGGAGGGUCAUUGGAAACUGGAAAACUUGAGUGCAGAAGAGGAAAGUGGAAUUCCAUGUGUAGCGGUGAAAUGCGCAGAGAUAUGGAGGAACACCAGUGGCGAAGGCGACUUUCUGGUCUGUAACUGACGCCGAUGUGCGAAAGCGUGGGGAUCAAACAGG
RNAcentral lists this ribosomal RNA (429 nucleotides) under Actinomycetes bacterium. RNAcentral's name for it is "Actinobacteria bacterium partial 16S ribosomal RNA". It matches the Rfam family "Bacterial small subunit ribosomal RNA", at positions 355 to 776 of the family's 1533-position model. Lineage: Bacteria; Bacillati; Actinomycetota; Actinomycetes. The record is from RNAcentral.